AAAAGAAAUCAUCGAGUAUUUAAUAAGACCUCCAUUUGAAAAAAACUAUACUAGAAUAUCAUUUGACAACUUGGAGGGAGUUUCUCUGCUACAACUUGUAAGCGAUAUUUUAUGUCAGAUUGAAUCGAAGUCAGAAAAAAUAAAAAUUCUGGAAGAAGGAUUGAAAAAAACCACAAAAAGAAUUAGUGUGUCUCUCAAUAUCUUAAAAUUUCCAUUUGAAACAACCAACGAAAUUUUUCAGGCAGAUUUGGUAAGAGGCAAAAAACCUGUUCUCUACAAUAUCAUGAUUUGGCUUUUAAAAAAUUUUGAAAAGCUGUCGACGAGAGCAUAUUUGGCCAAAUAUCUAAUAAGAAUAAACAUACCCCCUGAGUUUUUGCAGAAUAACCAGUUAUCAGACUUAUAUACUCAGUACAACGAAUCAAUUGAAAAAUUUAAACAAAUGCAUCGAGGUUACGAAGAAAUGAAAAAUUCCUUUAAAGAAGGAUCGGAGUUAAAAAUCGUACUUGAUUCAGCUGAGAAAGAGCAACAAGACUUAAAUCUUAGAGUCAGCCAAACUAAGAAAAACGUCAUUAAUAAAUAUUUUUAAUUUAGUUAAAAGGACUGGAUUAUCCUAAUAAGUUAGAAAGUUUGUGCAAAGAAAUUCACCAACAAAGAAAAAAAAUGGCAAAACUUCAGAUAGAAGGAAAAAAAUUGACAGAAGAACUUUCAAAAAACGAAUGUAAAGUUAACAGACUUAAAGUGGACUUUGAGCGUUCGCAAAACAUCAAUGAAGAUAUUAACCCAAAUGGUUUAAUUGAAAAAUUAAAAAACGAGCUUACAUUCAAAAAAUAUCUAAUUUCUGAAAAAUUUCCUCUUCAAAUAGAAAAUUUAAAAAAAGAAUUAAAAAGUCUUCGACUUAUUGAGGCAGAGAAUGUUUCACCG
This is a long non-coding RNA of Octopus sinensis (East Asian common octopus), 921 nucleotides long. RefSeq lists it as uncharacterized. The record is from RefSeq and is a predicted model, not a curated record. The transcript is spliced from 6 exons. Lineage: Eukaryota; Metazoa; Mollusca; Cephalopoda; Octopoda; Octopodidae.